GAUAAACGCUGGCGGCGUGCUUUACCAAUGCGAGUCGAACGGGCGCUGCGUGCCAGCAAUGGGGCGUGGGCGUCAGUGGCGUCCGGGUGCGUAACACGUGGGUGACCUGCCUGUGCGUGGGGGAGUACCCGCCCGAAGGGUAGGGCUAAUACCGCGGUGCGCUCUUGUCUGUUUGGGAGAAGAGGAAAGCUGCCGGUUGCAAGACCGGUGGCGCGCGCAGAGGGGGCCUGCGGCCAUCAGCUUGCCGGUGGGGUAACGGCCUACCGGGGCGGACGACGGGUAGCCGGUCUGAGGGGACGAACGGCCGACAGUGGGACUGGGAGGAUGGUCCACAGCUCUACGGGGUUUA
RNAcentral lists this ribosomal RNA (349 nucleotides) under uncultured bacterium. RNAcentral's name for it is "bacterial SSU rRNA". It matches the Rfam family "Bacterial small subunit ribosomal RNA", at positions 28 to 350 of the family's 1533-position model. The record is from RNAcentral.